ACCUAUUCUAAAAUGUUAAAUAUUAUCAUCAUUAACAACAAUAAAACUAUACAUUUCGCUGCUUUAUCACACUGAAACAACUCCCAUUGGUAGUUUUAUUUUAUUACUUCUAUCGUGAUUGGUUAAUCUGGCUGUCAUUCAGGAAACUGGACAAUGAAUCGGUUCGCGCUUUUCUACAUUUAAAAAUAUGACCGUUAUUGUCGUCUUUCUGUGAGUGAGGCGGCUAACUGUGAGCUGCUGCUCGUUAUAACUGACUGCUCGGUCGGUCCCGAAUUAUUUCAUAUUUGCCUGUACAUUUUUUAUUUAUUUCGAGCGAAUUUGAGUCGUGACAUGUCAAUGGAGAACAAAAACUGUGAACACAAGAAGGGUCAGGUGUUCUGCGAGGUCCUGAAAACAUCCUGUCAAAAUGAGAUGAUCAAGUUAGAUGCUCACCUAAUGUGUUGCUGAGUCAUCGAGGAUCCAGCUUGUUCUUUAAACAUUGAAGUUUGCACUCUGCAAGUGAACGACGCCUUGUGGUGCCAUCCCAAAGAGGACGGUACAGAAAGUGCACAAGUGGGAGAGAGUGGAGGGGACGGCGUCAGAAAGGACCUAGCGCUGGGACUCUUUCAAGGAUCACCCGAAGCACAACCACACUGUAUACACUAAGGUGCUGGUUCUAACAUUUUAGAGUGCCCUUCGGUAGAAAUCUCAUUCUGCAUUCCCCACGGUAAAGAAGACACAGUCCGGGGGGGUUCCCAUUAGAAAUCAACUGGUGGAAGGUUCCCUUCUCGAACCGUUCAACACAUUUUCACUGCACAAAUGUACACAACUCUUGUAAUGAGACACAUUACUAAAACAUGUUUUUGACAGAAACUGUAGGUUUCCACCAAAAUAAAAGAUCCACUGGUUUCAGUCAUAAAGGUACAAGGGUUUGUCUUGUAAGUGCUGCAAAAAAUAUGCAUUUAUGUGCCAAAUUAUUUCACAAAAACCUUUAAAUAUUAUUGUAUUUGGAUUGUUCUACUACCUGUUUUUAGCAUUAC
This is a long non-coding RNA of Carassius gibelio (silver crucian carp), 1019 nucleotides long. RefSeq lists it as uncharacterized. The record is from RefSeq and is a predicted model, not a curated record. The transcript has 5 exons. NCBI's taxonomy places the organism in Eukaryota, Metazoa, Chordata, Actinopteri, Cypriniformes, Cyprinidae.